GAUGAACGCUGGCGGCGUGCCUAAUACAUGCGAGUCGAGCGAACGGACGAGAAGCUUGCUUCUCUGAUGUUAGCGGCGGACGGGUGAGUAACACGUGGAUAACCUACCUAUAAGACGGAGAUAACUUCGGGAAACCGGAUCUAAUACCGGAUGAUAUUUUGAACCGCAUGGUUCAAAAGUGAAAGACGGUCUUGCUGUCACUUAUAGAUGGAUCCGCGCUGCAUUCGCUAGUUGGUAAGUUAACGGCUUACGAAGGCAACGAUGCAUAGCCGACCUGAGAGGGUGAUCGGCCACCCUGGAAGUGAGACACGGUCAAGACUACUACGGGAGGCACCAGUAGGCAAUCUUCCGCAAUAGGCGAAAGCAUGACGGAGCGACGCCAAGUGAGUGAUGAAGGUCCUCGGAUCGUAAAAAUCUGUUAUUAGGGAAGAACAUCUGUGUAAGUAACUGUGCACAUCUUGACGGUAACUAAUAAGAAAGCACCGGCUAACUACGUG
RNAcentral lists this ribosomal RNA (497 nucleotides) under uncultured bacterium. RNAcentral's name for it is "partial 16S ribosomal RNA". It matches the Rfam family "Bacterial small subunit ribosomal RNA", at positions 28 to 507 of the family's 1533-position model. The record is from RNAcentral.